UUGGUCUGAGAACAUGAUCCAGGUUCGUGAGUUUGAAAGAAGAUGCAUAUGGGAAGCUAUGCACUAGUAUAAAUAUGUUGGUAGUGAGAACCGGUUUAUAGAUAACUUGCUGUUUUUAAGUGUUGUAGCAUAUACGGGGGGGAAAAAGCUUGAUAAUGCAAGUGAGAAAGAACAGGAAAUAUUGAAGGGACGAAACUAGUCAUUGGAAGAGGGGGGUCAAUUGCCAAGAGGAGGAAAAAAAAAGGUCUGCGUUUUCACGGUUUGAACCCUAAUUUCUCCAUUUUUCCAAAGUAUUCCAACCACUUUGUCCCCCUUCAUUUACGUGUUGUAUGGUUUGACCCUCUUCUAUUUGGAUUCUGGCUUCGUCCUUGGUUUGCCCCUCUUCUAUUUAGAUUCUGGCUUCGUCCUUGUCUAUCUUGUACCAGUAUAUAUCUCUUGGAGACAAAAAAAAAAUUGUUGGGGAGAGAUUUUCAAGCGAUAAAUCCUUUCACAUAUCUUUUUGAUGAAAAAGCCGGUCAUUUUUUUUCGACAAAACUAUCAUUUGUUAUAUGAGAUCAUGUAGUAGCAUUCACUUCAUGUUGGAAGGGUGGAAUUUCCAUCAAACCUUUCAGGAGGGAUGAAAUUUCUUGGCAAGCAAAAAGAAAAAUAUCAAACUGGAAAGUUUUAUGUCUUAUGAAAUUUGGGACCAAAAUUAUGUUUAAAAUUGAGGAUGAAAUAUGUGUUAAUUUUGCCAUGUGUUAUAUAUUUUGAAUGAUUAUCUUGAUGCA
Molecule: non-coding RNA, 767 nt
Organism: Jatropha curcas
Lineage: Eukaryota; Viridiplantae; Streptophyta; Magnoliopsida; Malpighiales; Euphorbiaceae
Source: RefSeq, a predicted model, not a curated record